GGAGUUUUCUUGGUAAUUUUUCUCCAGGCUAGGACUGAGGAGUCAGCCUGAGGUUCAGCACCUAGAUUUCUGGAACAUAACAGAGUGUAAAUGAAAAUGUGGGCCAAGUCCAGUGGACACAGUCAGAAGUGGUCAAAUGGGAAGAAAUAAACCAGUUGCCUGGUUGGGAUGGUGCCACAGAGAACCAGUCACUGGAGAGUGACUUCCUAAGGCUAUUGUGAGGAUUCUCCACUCUUCCUGAAACAGCCCAGGGAAGGAGGGCAAGAGGACAUUAGCAAUGAAGCCAUGUAUUGAGGAGAGGAACUAUUGACAAUGAAGACCUUGGACAGAACCCAGAAGGAAAUUCUGCUGUCCACUGUGCUUCUUCCACUCUUUGGAAUCAUGUGAGAGCCUAAAAUCCUGGCCUGGAGAUGCAGUUACCUGCUUAAAGAAACACCAGAGUCAGAGCAAGAAGUGGAGAGAGAGUGAGGUGCAUGCAUGGAGGCAAGGAAGAUGGCGAAGAGCUUAGCUGGCAGUCACAAGUGUCCUGGUAGACAGCUGGAUGGGAAGUGAAACAUGG
Molecule: long non-coding RNA, 559 nt
Filed under: Monodelphis domestica (gray short-tailed opossum)
Lineage: Eukaryota; Metazoa; Chordata; Mammalia; Didelphimorphia; Didelphidae
Description: lncRNA (ENSMODG00000040882.1)
Source: RNAcentral